RNAcentral lists this long non-coding RNA (361 nucleotides) under Homo sapiens (human). RNAcentral describes it as "non-protein coding lnc-C9orf85-7:1". Lineage: Eukaryota; Metazoa; Chordata; Mammalia; Primates; Hominidae. The record is from RNAcentral.
UGCGCCGCAGGGUAGCGCUCCCAGCGGUCACCUCACCCUGCCCAGGACCCCAGACCAGGGGACCCACUUCGCAACUUUGUUCUUCCUGCUCCCUUUCUUCCCCUCUCUCUGCAACAACAACUCGCUCCUAAGUAUCCUUGGGGAGAGUGGAGCUUCAUCCCCUUGUCAGAUGCCGCACUUAUUUCUUCUCCAGCUUGCUCAGACUAGCCCACUGGGUCUCAGACUUGGCUGCACACUGGAGUUACCUGGAUCUUUUUUCUCUUUCUCUUUUUUAAAUGGUGAUAUUCCCCAGAGUCUAAUUUAAUUGGCCUGGCUGUGGCCUGGGAAUCAGGAUAUUUAAAAGCUCCCAAGGUGAUUCUAG